UCAGGUGGUUAUUGCGGUGAGGUCCCACCUCUUCCCAUUCCGAACAGAGAAGUUAAGCUCACUUGCGCCGAUGGUACUGCAAUGCAAUGCGGGAUAGUAGGUAGCCGCCUCCU
RNAcentral lists this ribosomal RNA (113 nucleotides) under Segatella copri. Lineage: Bacteria; Pseudomonadati; Bacteroidota; Bacteroidia; Bacteroidales; Prevotellaceae. The record is from RNAcentral.